This 281-nucleotide ribosomal RNA is filed under the name uncultured Staphylococcus sp. Its description in RNAcentral is "partial 16S ribosomal RNA". It matches the Rfam family "Bacterial small subunit ribosomal RNA", at positions 81 to 355 of the family's 1533-position model. The record is from RNAcentral. Lineage: Bacteria; Bacillati; Bacillota; Bacilli; Caryophanales; Staphylococcaceae.
CUCCUUUGACGUUAGCGGCGGACGGGUGAGCAACACGUGGGUAACCUACCUAUAAGACUGGGGUAACUUCGGGAAACCGGAGCUAAUACCGGAUAAUAUUUCGAACCGCAUGGUUCGAUAGUGAAAGGUGGUUUUGCUAUCACUUAUAGAUGGACCCGCGCCGUAUUAGCUAGUUGGUAAGGUAACGGCUUACCAAGGCGACGAUACGUAGCCGACCUGAGAGGGUGAUCGGCCACACUGGAACUGAGACACGGUCCAGACUCCUACGGGAGGCAGCAGUC